RNAcentral lists this long non-coding RNA (328 nucleotides) under Fukomys damarensis (Damara mole-rat). RNAcentral describes it as "lncRNA (ENSFDAG00000031553.1)". Lineage: Eukaryota; Metazoa; Chordata; Mammalia; Rodentia; Bathyergidae. The record is from RNAcentral.
AUGUUAUGCUAUAAUAAAAUAGCAUUAUUGAUCUUUCUAGACUUUGUGGCCAUCCUAUAUAAGGAAAGAGGUGGGCAGAACCAAUGAAAGACUCCAGACCUGGCAAGGAACUAAGAAGACUGACUUUGUGGAAUCCUUGAAAUUGGGAGAGGCAGAAGGACACUCAAAUCUAUCUGUCAGGCGAAUUUGACAACAAGAUGAACAUCGGCAGUUUGAUUCAUACCGGAAGAACAGGAGGAACUCUACAGAGACUGGACUUCAGCCUGGUGUUUGAGGAAAACACAGGAAGGUGUGCAGAGGAAGACUUGCAGACAGCCACAUACCGACA